GAUGAACGCUGGCGGCGUGCCUAAUACAUGCAAGUCGAGCGAAUGGAUUAAGAGCUUGCUCUUAUGAAGUUAGCGGCGGACGGGUGAGUAACACGUGGGUAACCUGCCCAUAAGACUGGGAUAACUCCGGGAAACCGGGGCUAAUACCGGAUAACAUUUUGAACCGCAUGGUUCGAAGUUGAAAGGCGGCUUCGGCUGUCACUUAUGGAUGGACCCGCGUCGCAUUAGCUAGUUGGUGAGGUAACGGCCCACCAAGGCAACGAUGCGUAGCCGACCUGAGAGGGUGAUCGGCCACACUGGGACUGAGACACGGCCCAGACUCCUACGGGAGGCAGCAGUAGGGAAUCUUCCGCAACGGACGAAAGUCUGACGGAGCAACGCCGCGUGAGUGAUGAAGGCUUUCGGGUCGUAAAACUCUGUUGUUAGGGAAGAACAAGUGCUAGUUGAAUAAGCUGGCACCUUGACGGUACCUAACCAGAAAGCCACGGCUAACUACGUGCCAGCCGCCGCAGUAA
Molecule: ribosomal RNA, 515 nt
Filed under: uncultured bacterium
Lineage: Bacteria
Description: partial 16S ribosomal RNA
Rfam family: Bacterial small subunit ribosomal RNA
Source: RNAcentral